GACCCUACACAAAAAAGAAACGGCGCCCCCUCCCAUGGCCAUUCUCUGAAAAAGAUGAGACCCCCCUCUCUCUCGAUAGCAACGGCGCCCAUUUCUAAAAAGAGAAAAAAAACACAAGAAAUCUCCCUCUCUCUGAACAAAAACAAAUGAACACCCUCCCCUUCUUCUUCUCCAAUUCCCUUCUUCUACACCCAUUUAGCAGCUCCAUCUUCUCUAAAAAAAACGAACAACCCAUGAAACUUCACUCAAGAUUCGAACAGAAAAGAGGGAGAUAAGCUAGGAGUUUUGGUUUUUAGAUAUAAAAAUACCAAUAAAUCACAGAGAACUUGCAAAAAGAAAAAUUAUAGCUGCAUUUUUUUUGGUUAUUGCUGCGUUCUUCUUGUUGAAUCUGCUUCUGCUGGUUUCCGGUUUUCUCCCUUUUGUUAUCAUGGGUUGAGGUGCCCGAGCAGCAGAGUGAGGGUUCCCAGCAUUUUCGGAGCUUAUCGGAGACUAGAAGAUGGUGAAGACACGUGCUACCGAGCAGGAUGGACGACCACGGCAUGAGGGCAUCAAACUCAUCCCACAUCUUUCUAAGACUUGAGAAGUAGUCAGUUACAGUCAUAAUUCAUUGGGUACAAAGGAUGAUUGUGAUCGAUGGUAGGAAAAGUAGCAGUUCCAGCAGGGAAAUUUGUAGUAGUUGAGGUCGCGCCAACGAGUUCAGCUUCAAUUGCCAUUGUUGAUCUAUACAUAGCUUCAAAGUAAGAGGCUUACAAACCCUAGCUUCAACCAAAUGUUACUCUAGCUCAAUUCAGCUCUCAAUUGUAGAAUUGAAGUAAUAGAGAAGACUCGAUUUGCUCGCAAUUUGCUUAGAUUUCAAUGGGUGGCUCGGAUACCAUGUUAGCUGCCAUGGAAAUGGGAUCUAAGAUAAGAAGAAGAAGAAGAAGAAGAAGAAGAGUCUAGAAGAAAAGAGGGAAUCAGAGAAAGGCUCGAUACAUUUCUGAAUGAAAAAGAAAAACAAAUGUACACGUGUCCACUAUUUAUAACAAACUAAAUCACUUCCUUAACUCUAAUUAACUCACAAAAUAUGGUUUAGCAUUAUAUUAUAAUUAAACUAUGGUCAACUAUGCUGAUUGACAAACUUCAACUAGUUUUGAGUAAUUGUGUUUAUUGGUCAGU
Long non-coding RNA from Nicotiana attenuata, 1155 nucleotides. RefSeq lists it as uncharacterized. Lineage: Eukaryota; Viridiplantae; Streptophyta; Magnoliopsida; Solanales; Solanaceae. The record is from RefSeq and is a predicted model, not a curated record. The transcript is spliced from 4 exons.